Molecule: ribosomal RNA, 335 nt
Filed under: Salmonella enterica subsp. enterica serovar Enteritidis
Lineage: Bacteria; Pseudomonadati; Pseudomonadota; Gammaproteobacteria; Enterobacterales; Enterobacteriaceae
Description: partial 23S ribosomal RNA
Rfam family: Bacterial large subunit ribosomal RNA
Source: RNAcentral
CCGGCUUACCAACCCGAUGCAAACUGCGAAUACCGGAGAAUGUUAUCACGGGAGACACACGGCGGGUGCUAACGUCCGUCGUGAAGAGGGAAACAACCCAGACCGCCAGCUAAGGUCCCAAAGUCAUGGUUAAGUGGGAAACGAUGUGGGAAGGCCCAGACAGCCAGGAUGUUGGCUUAGAAGCAGCCAUCAUUUAAAGAAAGCGUAAUAGCUCACUGGUCGAGUCGGCCUGCGCGGAAGAUGUAACGGGGCUAAACCAUGCACCGAAGCUGCGGCAGCGACACUGUGUGUUGUUGGGUAGGGGAGCGUUCUGUAAGCCUGUGAAGGUGUGUCGU